CGCAGAAACCACCCAAUCUCCUCUACCUCCUACAAGUUUUUUCAUCUCCCAGGGAUUCUCGGGUUGAGCACAUGGAGGAAGACAGAUGGAGAGGAGGACCCAAAGCUGUUAGUGUGGCUGAGCUCACCAUAGGCUCAGAACCCCAAAUGAAGACCUGGCCUGGAAGAUCCCAAGUGGACAACAAACUUACCCAUUCAAAAACUAGAAGACUCAGUCUGUCCAGAGAGUUCUGAAGCCAAAGGAACAAGAACAAUGAAAAAGAAAACAGAAUAUGGUCUCUGGGGAGCCUAGAAGAAGGGCAUGAAUGCUAAAACAGAAGUGGACAGUGAGGAAGGCUGGAGCCCUUGGGGGAAUACCUGCACUAAGACCCGAGGGGACCUUCCUCCUUAGAGGAACACUCAGAAAGUGCAAGCCAAGGGCUUGGCCACCCUCCUGGCUCCAGCACCUGCACUUAAGAAGAUAAGGAUUCUAAGUCAGGCGCCUUUAAUCCCAGCACU
Molecule: long non-coding RNA, 497 nt
Organism: Nannospalax galili (Upper Galilee mountains blind mole rat)
Lineage: Eukaryota; Metazoa; Chordata; Mammalia; Rodentia; Spalacidae
Exons: 3
Source: RefSeq, a predicted model, not a curated record